GCAUAUCUGAUAAGUGAUAAUUUGAGUGUUUUUGCUAUGUGUGAAUAACCUUCCGAAGAAAACAAAGACCUAGUGUUCCUCUUUGACACAUAUGCCAUAUGAGAACACAACCCCCCCCCCCCCAAAAAAAAAAAAAAAAACACGAAACCCGAGUGAUUAUGAUCACUAUGUUAUGAUGAUUGAUCGACGAAUCAGGAGUGCAUAUAUUCAGGGCGCGAAAUAAUGGCUGGAGGUUCGCCGGUCAAGGUGACCGUGGCCUUAACUCUUAAGACAAAAGCAUGGCCAUGGGCUUUGUGACGUACUGCGUGGGAAAGCUGACGUAUAUUGAAGUUCUUUUCCCACAAAAUAUUCGACAACAUGUUAUAGUUCUUAUUUUGAUUAUUAAUUCAAAUGAAGAUUAGUUUGUUCUUUUACCGAAAGUGAUCGGUCAAAAUGAUAGGCAAGGUAAGAAUUUGGCCGGACAACUCCGCAUUCUGGCCGGACAUUGUCCGUUGACCGGACGUUAUUUCGCGCCCUGCAUAUAUUGCAGUUUUAUGUUAUGAACCCCAGAAACCUUUGUUCAUUUCAGUCAAAUGAAAGGGAAACAUUGAAGCUUGCGGGGCAGAUUGAAGUUCUGGAUGUAAAAUUGUGUGCCCAUUGGCUAUUUUGAAACCUUACCAACACCGCCUUAGCAACAGCGAAAUCAUUUUUAUGAAGGUGAAAAAGAAACAUGGAAAACACAUAUAUAAUCAG
This is a non-coding RNA of Paramuricea clavata, 732 nucleotides long. The record is from the annotation of a GenBank genome assembly. Lineage: Eukaryota; Metazoa; Cnidaria; Anthozoa; Malacalcyonacea; Plexauridae.